Long non-coding RNA from Salvia miltiorrhiza (redroot sage), 1616 nucleotides. RefSeq lists it as uncharacterized. The transcript is spliced from 2 exons. The record is from RefSeq and is a predicted model, not a curated record. NCBI's taxonomy places the organism in Eukaryota, Viridiplantae, Streptophyta, Magnoliopsida, Lamiales, Lamiaceae.
GACGUCUUAACCAAACAAAAACCUCAAAACCUGCAUCUUUACAAAGUUUCAGUUAUUGCUCAAGCAGGUGCCAUGCAUGAAAACUGCUCCCAGAUGUCACGAACCACGUCCGUGCCUCCUUGCAAGCCCACCACAGCCCCGGAGAUUAUCCACUCGGGAAGCUCUUGAGGCCUACCUAUGGUCUCCGUGAAGCGUUCAAUGAGCUCAACCGGUGAGUUCCCAUUCAAGAUUCUACCUUCAAUCAUGUCUCCAUACAACUGCACAAAUUUAAAGAUUCAAGUUUUGUUUCUUAAAUCAUCAUAGCUUGAUCAUAGAGAUCACAUCAUAAAUCACCUGUAUCUGGACAGAUUCAUCAUUUGUUAGAUCAAAAACUGAGUAGUUAUAUCCUUCAAGAUAAAGUGAUCUCAUCUUUGAAGUGAUGUAAAAAGGUGAAGGGGCAUAAGUUGUGCUCUCAUCACCUCCUGCCCUGCACUCGAACAAAAAAAUCUUAUGAUCAUAAAUCAUAAUUAUCGUUUAAAAAUUCAAUCUUUAUUUUCAAGAAUUGUGGCAAAUGAUCUUCACCUAUAGCUAACCAAAUUAGCAGCAAAAGUGAUGGGCUGAUCCCCUCUUCCGAUCCCUUGUUCUUGAACCAACAUUGGCACCCUCUUCCCCUUCAAAUCCAUGUGAGAGAACUGCUCUCCAAAGCCAUAGAAUCUCUCACUCCUCUCACUAGAAUAAGUGAGGCAAACCCUAUUGAAAUCAAGAAAAGAUGCCUUCUUCAUCACCACAUUCUCCUCUUCUUGAGAAAAUGCAACAACCACUCUCUUUUUCAAGAAAGAUCCACACCAUCCAACUCGAAGCCUGCGAAUUCUCCCCAAUUUUCGAGCAAGGCCUCUGCAUCCAUAGCUUCUUGCAGAGAGCUUCUGGUCCCGACCCGAAUUCGGCGUCCCAAACCUCACUCGAAACCCCACUUGAUCACUGCUUUUCUGAUCAAACACCAUCCAAUACUUAGCAUAUGCAGCUAUGCUCUUCUCAACAAGCUCCAAACUUUCACUCUCAACACGCCCUCUUCUCCCUCCCUUCACAUUAAAAACCCUCCCUUUGAUCAGCAUAGAAGGUGAUAGGGCCCGGGCCCUAUCCCUUUCCGGGUCCGAUUCUUGAAUGACUCUGAUCUCUUCAACAGUUUGAUGACUGCAUACGAGGCGGAUGUUGCUGUCUUUGACCACGAACGAUCCCCUGCUCUCCUCCACCUCUGUGUCGGCGGCGGUUGCAGAGACGAAGGCCCGGCCCGGCACCGUAGACCAUAUCGAUCUUGAGAAGUUGGACUUGUGGCAAACUGCGAGAGACCCUCCAUUGUUUGACGACCACUUCAGCUGGAAAUCAUGGCCUAUGUCGUAAACUUGCUGUGGAGGAAGUGUUUGAGGAUCGAAAAAUAGACUUCCUUGGAUCAAAGGAAGAGUCUUUGGGUUGGAGGGGAAAGGGUUGUUGAUGUGUUUAUGGUGUUUCUUUGUUGUUUUGAAUGAUGUCAUCGUUUACAAUUUUUUUUUUUUUAUAAUUUGGGUAAGGUUUGAAUGUUUUUCUUAUAUCACAGGUCUUAUAUAUAGUGCUAUUUUGCAGUUACGGCUGCUAUAUUUGUC